Molecule: long non-coding RNA, 1181 nt
Organism: Esox lucius (northern pike)
Lineage: Eukaryota; Metazoa; Chordata; Actinopteri; Esociformes; Esocidae
Source: Ensembl
GAUGCUGUGUUUGAGUUGUGUGAUGAGUCACUUUGUUACUCGUGCUCCAGGGAAAUGGGACGAGAGAGUGAAAGAAAAGUAGAGGGAGGGAGUUGGAUGGGAAAAGGGAGUAAAGAAAGAGGAAGAGUGAGGGGACAGAAAGAAAGAGAAGGGGAAGAUAGAGGAGAGAAAUUAGAAAAUUAGAGAGAAAAAGAAAGGAGAAACGGUUAGGGUUGGAGGGGUAAGAUGGAGGAAGAGAUGGAGGAAGACAGAGGGGGAGGAAGAGGACUGAGUGAGAGGGAGAGGAAGAGGACUGAGUGAGUGGAGAGGAAGAGGAAGAGGACUGAGUGAGUGGAGAGGAAGAGGACUGAGUGAGAGGGAGAGGAAGAGGACUGAGUGAGUGGAGAGGAAGAGGACUGAGUGAGAGGGAGAGGAAGAGGAAGGGGACUGAGUGAGUGGUGAGGAAGAGGACUGAGUGAGUGGAGAGGAAGAGGACUGAGUGAGAGGGAGAGGAAGAGGACUGAGUGAGAGGAGAGGAAGAGGACAGAGUGAGAGGGAGAGGAAGAGGACUGAGUGAGAGGGAGAGGAAGAGGACUGAGUGAGAGGAGAGGAAGAGGACUGAGAGAGUGGAGAGGAAGAGGAAUAAUGAUCACAAGAAGGACCUGACUAUAAAAUGGACUGUCCUGAUUAUUAAUUUUCAAGGUGAAUAAUCGCAAAUACAGGAAAUGUGUCUAGAUGCUGCAUAUCUGAAUGUGAUGUUCCCUCCAGAUCAGGGUCAGUGUUAGAGGUCCAGUAAUAAGACAGUCCUGAUGUUCCCUCCAGAUCAGGGUCAGUAUUAGAGGUCCAGUAAUAAGACAGUCCUGAUGUUCCCUCCAGAUCAGGGUCAGUAUUAGAAGUCCAGUAAUAAGACAGUCCUGAUGUUCCCUCCAGAUCAGGGUCAGUAUUAGAGGUCCAGUAAUAAGACAGUCCUGAUGUUCCCUCCAGAUCAGGGUCAGUAUUAGAGGUCCAGUAAUAAGACAGUCCUGAUGUUCCCUUCAGAUCUGGGUCAGUGUUAGAGGUCAGUUUUUCAAAUUAUAGCCCUGGCUGAAUGAAUCACAGCCCAGGCCGAACUAAUCACAUCCCUGUCCAAACAAAGCCCUGGUUCAAUGAAUCACAGCUCUGGCCAAACAAAUCCCUGGCUCAACAAAUCACAGCCCUGACCG